UAUGGAAAGUUAAUUAGAAGAAACAAUUUUUUCUGAAGUGUUGGUUAGAAAGAAAAUCUAGAUUAAGCCCAAGUUAUUAAAAAUACUAGAUGACAUCUUUAAGAUAGUCAUCAGGGAUGCUCUCAACUUGACCCUUAUCAGGGUAUCAGUCGGACACUAGGCGAUGGCCUAGAGAACAAAUUUAUACAUGUGGACCAACUAAUACGAAAUGAAUACCUUCAGCCUUGGAUUGCUCCCCUAAUAUUUAAAUGCUCUCUGACCUCCCAACCAAACGAGUCAAUUACCAGUUUGAGUAAAAACUUAGAGUGCUAACGGAAGUCUUAAAUGGACUUGGAACUUUUAGUUCAUCAAACAUCUCAGGCAAAGGAUCUCAGUUCAGAAAGGAUUGUUUCUAAGGAACUGACUGACUCAAAAUAUUUCAUCAAUUUGGGGUGAGGGAGGGGAGGGGGAGGGGAAUUCCCUUUACAUUAGACAGUAAUUAUCGUCUAACUACUUGACUUAU
Molecule: long non-coding RNA, 502 nt
Organism: Danaus plexippus (monarch butterfly)
Lineage: Eukaryota; Metazoa; Arthropoda; Insecta; Lepidoptera; Nymphalidae
Exons: 3
Source: RefSeq, a predicted model, not a curated record